AUCUGAAAUUUAAAGAACAAACCGUGAGAGAGAAGGGAGGAAGAAGAAGAAGAAGCGAAAAGAGGGGAAAAUAAGGGAAAAAGAAAAAGGAGUUGGAAGAAAUAAGUUUAAAGAUAAUCCUGAUAUUCUACCGGCGGGACGUCAGUAGGAUUUUCUUCGAUAUCAGCUUUGAGUUUUGUUGCUUUUGAGUCAGGCUUAUAGCUUGAUAGCAGGUCAUUUUGUUGGACCUUCAGAACCUGCUCUGUUGGUCGUAAUUUGUAUCUUCCUUUAUGUCUAGUUAGUGCUCCAAAACUCUGAACUUAUAUAAACUCUUGUAUUAAGACAAUUCAAUUAUAUUAUGAAGUUGAUUUUGUUGUUAAUGCUGCGUUCAACUCUGAUUGAGUUAGGAUAAGUUUGUGUGUAAGUUUGGGUUCACAUAGGUAUGGAACCUUGGAGGGGAACCUUGCCUAUGUGCCGGUCAUAGAUCCGGGGAUCGGGUC
Populus nigra (black poplar) is the source of this 479-nucleotide long non-coding RNA. RefSeq lists it as uncharacterized. The transcript has 3 exons. The record is from RefSeq and is a predicted model, not a curated record. NCBI's taxonomy places the organism in Eukaryota, Viridiplantae, Streptophyta, Magnoliopsida, Malpighiales, Salicaceae.